GCGUGAGUGAUGAAGGCCUUCGGGUUGUAAAGCUCUUUUAGCGGGGAAGAUAAUGACGGUACCCGCAGAAUAAGCCCCGGCUAACUUCGUGCCAGCAGCCGCGGUAAGACGAAGGGGGCUAGCGUUGUUCGGAAUUACUGGGCGUAAAGGGCGCGCAGGCGGCUUUGCAAGUCAGGCGUUAAAGACCCAGGCUCAACCUGGGGAAUGCGCUUGAUACUGCGGAGCUUGAGAUCGGAAGAGGAGAGUGGAAUUCCCAGUGUAGAGGUGAAAUUCGU
Molecule: ribosomal RNA, 275 nt
Filed under: uncultured bacterium
Lineage: Bacteria
Description: partial 16S ribosomal RNA
Rfam family: Bacterial small subunit ribosomal RNA
Source: RNAcentral